GGGACUUUCUUCGUUUUAUCAUAGAAGUUAUCAUUACUCUAUGCGAUUUGUGAUCAAUGGUGCGAAUGACAAUUGGCAAGUUUGGGGUUACCUGCACGAAAAUGGUUUAAGCCAAUUUGGUUUGGCUUCCCCUUACAAUAUAUUUUCUUGCUUCUUCUUUUCACUGAUGUGGGACAUCCAAUGCUCACCCUCAUGCAACUGGACUGGAUUGUGCUCAUGUUUAUAGGUCCAGUUAUCACUUGCACUAUAUGUGGUGCCCAUCCACUAGAGUUAGUUGUUUUUUUUACACUUCUAUUUUUUUACAAGCCAAUGGAUCCACCUCAGUCUGGCUAACUGCUGAACUUCUCACCAUGUUUAUCAUGGUCCCGAAAUGUGACCUGCUCUGAUAACAUGUGAAUUCUCUGAUCUGAAGAGGCAGAUGACAAUCUGCGCUUAAGCCCAUUUGGCUUGGCUUGGCUUCCUGUUACUAAAUAUUUUCUUGUUUGUUACUGAUGUGGGACAUCCAACAAUUAGGUUAUGUUAAUCACCUAGAGGUUCAAGUGGCUUAAUUUUGCCAUCCAUGUCUCUUAAUUAACAUUCAAGGAACUAGAAAUAGAUUGCUUAAAGC
RNAcentral lists this unclassified non-coding RNA (607 nucleotides) under Hevea brasiliensis (rubber tree). The record is from RNAcentral. Lineage: Eukaryota; Viridiplantae; Streptophyta; Magnoliopsida; Malpighiales; Euphorbiaceae.